Saimiri boliviensis boliviensis (Bolivian squirrel monkey) is the source of this 1947-nucleotide non-coding RNA. Lineage: Eukaryota; Metazoa; Chordata; Mammalia; Primates; Cebidae. The record is from RefSeq and is a predicted model, not a curated record.
UUGCCUGGGCCUCCCAAAGUGCUGGGAUUAUAGAGUGAGCCACCCACCCAACUAUAUCUGUUUAUUUAAGAAUCCCAGUACCUGGCCUGAUAGCUUAAUACCUGUAUGUUGAACUAUUAAUUCAAACUACAAAGAAGUAAAAAACAAUAGAGUUUUCUCUACCUCACAAAUGGGAGGGUUUGUAUUGAAUGUUGAAUUUAUCUUCUAGCCAAUCUUAUCUUGGAGCACAAAGCAAAAUGACCCAGCCUCCUCCGCUAUCUUCUGAACGCUUAGGCCUGAGCAGGAGGGCUGCCCCCUUGCUUUUAUGUAGCCAGCCCGCGUAUGUGCAGGGCCAAGCAUAGAGGGAGGAGGUGGUGGGACAUGGAUGGCUUCGUUUAAUUGGAAGACAGACGGUAGAUUGGAACAGGCAUUUGAAGAUUUGAGAGUUGUUGAUCAUGGGCCAGAAGAGUGCUGUUCUGUGACUGCGGAGCAGGAGGAGGAAACUGAUACUUCUGAGGGGAGAGCCUGCCGCUAAAAAGGCCUGGUCAAAUCUUCGGGUGUAUAUGGAUUGAGAACAAGCUGGCUGGCCUCAUCUGGAUGCUCCUGCGUUCUGACGUCGUGCCCAUGAUAGCAGGUCUGCACAGGCAUGGCUCUAUGUGUCCCAUGACAUGUUUGACCCUCAUGGAGGCCUCAAAAGGGCAAGACCAGCACCCUCUUCUACAGAGGAAGGAGCAGGCGCAGCAGGUGGCGAUUGUCAUUUCAGAAACAAGGACAAGAGUCAGCACUUACCAGCCAGCCGAGGUCCUGGAAGCUGACGUAGAGCUCGUGCCGACGGCAGACCUGCUGGCCGUGAGAGCCGUGGACAUCAUCUGUAGGGACAGAGGGGCAAGGUCUUUUCUGGGGUUCCUGCUCUGUGCAGCUGCUGCGGGUUACCAGGGUGGAGGACCCCCUGAUGAGCACAUUUGUCAAAUGAAUGACAGGAAACCAUUUGGUCUCAUAAAGCCCAUCCCUGGAACUCUGCUUGUACCAUGACCCAGGCUCAAGAGCCUGCCAUGGCUCCCAGUGGUUAGAGUGACACUGUGCCCAGCCCUCCCAUCCUUCAGCCUGUGAGCGUCUUGAUGCUCCAGUAAACAGCCCAGCAGGACCCUGGGCCAUCCUGUGCCGCUUUCUCCUCUCUGGAGAACCCUGUGACUCCAGCCCACCCUCUCCUGCCACACCCAUUCCUCAGGUUCAAGUGGCUGACAACCAGGCCAGUCAAGGGCCGACUCCCUGGGAAGAAGGGCACAGGGUCGGGUCAGGCCUGUCCCUGAUCCUGAAGGGCUUGGCCCAGUUGGGGAUAAAACUUCACAUAAGUAGCCGAGGGUCCUGCAGGGUGCCCGGGCACAACUGCGGGCCACAAGGGGCUGCGGCAUCCAGGGAAGGGGCAGCCGAUUCUGAUGGAGGCUUCUGGGAAAGACCUGGAGGAGCCAGGGAAGGGAGAGAAGGGGCCUUCUGGGUGGCAGGGACAGCCAGGACAGCCAGGACAGGCCUCUGGAGUGCCGAUCACCAAGGUGCAUCAGGGCAAAGAUGGUGUCAGGGAAGGGGGCUGGAGAGUGGCCAUCAGCUUGAACCGACCUGAGCCUGAGGGCUCUGGGCCACCUCCUGGUUCUCGCCCUGCCUCUCUCAGCCGGAAGCCUGCAGGGCCUCAGCCCCAGCCCGCCCGGUCCUCACCAAAGAUGCCCGGGAGCCGGCUGUCCUGCGGCAGCUCAUUGGUUUUCUUCGGCUGCCUCCUCCUCAGUGGCCUCACUGCCCGAGGGGUGCGGACGGGAUUCUGACUGGCCCUGAAGAAAGUGACCACGAAAGGCUGUCGGGAGCGCGGGGCCUGUUGGCCCAGCAGGCCGGCCAGGCCAGGAUCCACGCUGUGCCCUGAGACAGAAAGGAGAGAGGGGUCACUCAUGGGCAAUGGGCCUGCAGUGGACACAGCAGGGA